RNAcentral lists this transfer RNA (75 nucleotides) under Apaloderma vittatum (bar-tailed trogon). It matches the Rfam family "tRNA". From Rfam's summary of the family: Transfer RNA (tRNA) molecules are approximately 80 nucleotides in length. Their secondary structure includes four short double-helical elements and three loops (D, anti-codon, and T loops). Lineage: Eukaryota; Metazoa; Chordata; Aves; Trogoniformes; Trogonidae. The record is from Rfam by way of RNAcentral.
GGGCCGAUAAGCUCAGUCGGUUAGAGCGUGGUGCUGAUAAUGCCAAGGUUGCAGGUUCGAUACCCGUUCAGUCCA